UCGUGUCAGAACGAACGCUGGCGGCGUGCUUAACACAUGCAAGUCGAACGCGAAAGGGACUUCGGUCCUGAGUAAAGUGGCGCACGGGUGAGUAACGCGUAGAUAACCUGUCUUCAUGUCUGGAAUAAUACGCCGAAAGGGGUACUAAUACCGGAUAUUCUUGCUUUUCAUAAGUUAUGCAAGCAAAGGUGGCCUCUGCAUAUGCUACUGCAUGAAGAGGGGUCUGCGUACCAUUAGCUAGUAGGUGGGGUAAUGGCCUACCUAGGCGACGAUGGUUAGCGGGUCUGAGAGGAUGAUCCGCCACACUGGCACUGGAACACGGGCCAGACUCCUACGGGAGGCAGCAGUGAGGAAUAUUGCGCAAUGGGGGAAACCCUGACGCAGCGACGCCGCGUGAGUGAGGAAGGCCUUCGGGUCGUAAAGCUCUGUCAAGAGGAAAGAAGUGUACAAUGGCUAAUACCUGUUGUAUUUGACGGUACCUCUAAAGGAAGCACCGGCUAACUCCGUGCCAGCCGCCGC
This 519-nucleotide ribosomal RNA is filed under the name uncultured bacterium. RNAcentral's name for it is "bacterial SSU rRNA". It matches the Rfam family "Bacterial small subunit ribosomal RNA", at positions 19 to 518 of the family's 1533-position model. The record is from RNAcentral.